RNAcentral lists this ribosomal RNA (253 nucleotides) under uncultured bacterium. RNAcentral describes it as "partial 16S ribosomal RNA". It matches the Rfam family "Bacterial small subunit ribosomal RNA", at positions 524 to 776 of the family's 1533-position model. The record is from RNAcentral.
GACGGAGGGUGCAAGCGUUGCUCGGAAUCACUGGGCGUAAAGGGUGCGUAGGCGGGUCUUUAAGUCAGGGGUGAAAUCCUGGAGCUCAACUCCAGAACUGCCUUUGAUACUGGGAGUCUUGAGUUCGGGAGAGGUGAGUGGAACUGCGAGUGUAGAGGUGAAAUUCGUAGAUAUUCGCAAGAACACCAGUGGCGAAGGCGGCUCACUGGCCCGAUACUGACGCUGAGGUGCGAAAGCGUGGGGAGCAAACAGG